AUUAUUAUUAUUAUUAUUAUAAUAUAGUAUGUGUUUUUUGUGUGAAAAGUGUUUGGUGUAUGGUAGCUGACUUGUGGUAAUUAUAUUAACAAUGGAGGGCUCCACUUUGAAAAUUAUUUUACGAUUUCAGCUGGACUUAUUUUGGGCAUAUUUUUAGUUAUUUGGAGGCUACGUUUAUUUCAAUUUUAGGACAACCUUCUAUGUAUACUGU
Molecule: unclassified non-coding RNA, 211 nt
Filed under: Hevea brasiliensis (rubber tree)
Lineage: Eukaryota; Viridiplantae; Streptophyta; Magnoliopsida; Malpighiales; Euphorbiaceae
Source: RNAcentral